GUUUGUGUGCCAAGUAAGAUCUUCAGGAAUUUUUUGAAAAUUUGGGCUCUUCGUUUACAUGAAAAGCAACGUGACUGAAGGGCUCAGAGUUGAUGCUAACCUUAUGACUACCUUAGGUGGCACUAACAAGAGAAUAUCCAUCACUAGUGGGUACAGACUGAGUUAGAGCAUUCCCAGGUGCAGAUUGAGUCUAAGAAUCAACAAACCAGAAACAGUAAAAUUAUGCUUUGGACUUAGUAGAGCACUGAACUACUCAAUUACUGUCAAAAAUCCCAAGUAAAUGGUGCACAGUUUCUCUGACAAAUGUUCCAAGCCUGUCCUCUUUACAAAGGGUUAUGUCCAGAUGAGCAACUCCAACAGAGAAAUGGAAG
Long non-coding RNA from Oxyura jamaicensis (ruddy duck), 371 nucleotides. RefSeq lists it as uncharacterized. NCBI's taxonomy places the organism in Eukaryota, Metazoa, Chordata, Aves, Anseriformes, Anatidae. The transcript is spliced from 2 exons. The record is from RefSeq and is a predicted model, not a curated record.